This is an RNA transcript of Orcinus orca (killer whale), 1284 nucleotides long. It is a transcript of the gene named SH3 domain binding glutamate rich protein, with no coding region annotated. The transcript is spliced from 8 exons. The record is from RefSeq and is a predicted model, not a curated record. NCBI's taxonomy places the organism in Eukaryota, Metazoa, Chordata, Mammalia, Artiodactyla, Delphinidae.
CAGGGCUUCAGUUGAGCUGAGAGGCGGGAGCUCGGACAGCCUUGGGCCCCUCGCCAGUCCCCACCUGGCACUUGUCUGUGUCACUGUCAGGAUUUGUCUGACUCCGCGUUCCCUCGCAGGGGUGUGUUGGGGGGAGUCCUCUUUGCAACCCUCAAAAUGGUUAUCAAAGUGUUUGUUGCCACAUCAUCUGGGUCCAUAGCGAUUAGGAAGAAACAGCAAGAAGUAGUGGGCUUUUUGGAAGCUAAUAAAAUCGAUUUUAAGGAGUUCGAUAUUGCUGGAGAUGAAGACAAUCGGAGGUGGAUGAGAGAGAACGUUCCUGGAGAGAAGAAACCUCAAAAUGGGAUUCCUCUGCCCCCACAGAUAUUCAACGAAGAGCAGUACUGUGGGGAUUUUGACUCUUUCUUCUCUGCAAAAGAAGAGAAUAUUAUUUAUUCCUUCCUUGGCUUGGCUCCCCCUCCAGGCUCAAAGGUGACAAAAUCGCCCAAGGAAGCAUCUUCCCUUCCCAAUGGUGAUGUGGCAGGAGAAGCACAGAGCAACACAGAGGGAACAGAGAAGGCUGAAGAAAGUGGACAACACGAGGCACAAAAAGAAGGCAGUGAAGAUGCGGGCGACCUCACCGGAUCCCCAGAAAAGAAUGAAGAAGAGGGAGAGACAGCAACAGAAGAGAAUAAGACGGAAGAAAUAACUGCGGAGGGAGCAGAAGGGGAAGCGGAGGAAGAGGAAGCUGAGAAAGGAGAAGAGGAGGGGCCAGGAGAAGAAGAAGAAGGAGAAGAGGAAGAAGGAGAAGAGGAAGAAGAUUCUUAGGCCUUUUCAUGCUUUAUUCUUCCACUUGUCCAGGUAGCCACAUCGCUCUGGGGUUGAAAGAAACCCAAGCCACGAAGCACCAUUUCAACUCUCUUCCCACAAACCAAAUUCAACAAAAUGCUUUGGCCUGAAGCUAGCACACGUCUGUCAGUACAUCCAGGGUUCACCGAGGAAUUGUAUGAUCCGACACGGUUAGAUCUCCAUGCAUAUACCUGCUUAAUCAUAUCAACACGAAAGCAAAUGUGAAGAUAGCACAUGCACACCUUCAUGGGCCUGACAUUUGUGGCCUUUGCUUAAUUUUUUGCUCUGCAUGAAUAGACCUUCUAAUACCCUGAAAAAAUUUCAAAAUAUAGAACUUCUCUUUGUGAUGUGACAAAAGUAUUUCUUUGUAUGUGCCUUAUGCUACUUUUCUCAGAAUUAGCUUUGAAAAUGAAGAGAUUUAUAGAGAGCAAUCAUACUAAUAAAGAUGAAUAGCAAAUA